RNAcentral lists this ribosomal RNA (496 nucleotides) under uncultured bacterium. RNAcentral describes it as "partial 16S ribosomal RNA". It matches the Rfam family "Bacterial small subunit ribosomal RNA", at positions 28 to 506 of the family's 1533-position model. The record is from RNAcentral.
GACGAACGCUGGCGGCGUGCCUAAUACAUGCAAGUAGAACGCUGAAGCUUGGUGCUUGCACCGAGCGGAUGAGUUGCGAACGGGUGAGUAACGCGUAGGUAACCUGCCUGGUAGCGGGGGAUAACUAUUGGAAACGAUAGCUAAUACCGCAUAAGAGUAGAUGUUGCAUGACAUUUGCUUAAAAGGUGCAAUUGCAUCACUACCAGAUGGACCUGCGUUGUAUUAGCUAGUUGGUGAGGUAACGGCUCACCAAGGCAACGAUACAUAGCCGACCUGAGAGGGUGAUCGGCCACACUGGGACUGAGACACGGCCCAGACUCCUACGGGAGGCAGCAGUAGGGAAUCUUCGGCAAUGGACGGAAGUCUGACCGAGCAACGCCGCGUGAGUGAAGAAGGUUUUCGGAUCGUAAAGCUCUGUUGUAAGGGAAGAACGAGUGUGAGAGUGGAAAGUUCACACUGGGACGGUAUCUUACCAGAAAGGGACGGCUAACUACGU